AAAAGCCCGGGCCAAACCGAAAGAACUCGUCCUCGGCACUCCAUCCGUCGUCGUCGAGAAAGGCAAGUACAGCUACGACGUUGAAACCCUAAUCAACAAGCUCAGCAGCCUCCCUCCCCGUGGUAGCAUCGCACGUUGCCUUGAAGUAUUUAAGAACAAGCUCUCCCUAAACGACUUCGCUUUGGUCUUCAAGGAAUUCGCCCAGCGCGGGGACUGGCAGAGAUCGCUUCGCCUUUUCAAGUAUAUGCAGCGCC
RNAcentral lists this unclassified non-coding RNA (254 nucleotides) under Hevea brasiliensis (rubber tree). Lineage: Eukaryota; Viridiplantae; Streptophyta; Magnoliopsida; Malpighiales; Euphorbiaceae. The record is from RNAcentral.